This 85-nucleotide transfer RNA is filed under the name Azonexus sp. RNAcentral describes it as "tRNA-Leu". It matches the Rfam family "tRNA". From Rfam's summary of the family: Transfer RNA (tRNA) molecules are approximately 80 nucleotides in length. Their secondary structure includes four short double-helical elements and three loops (D, anti-codon, and T loops). RNAcentral also lists the same sequence under 1 other name. Lineage: Bacteria; Pseudomonadati; Pseudomonadota; Betaproteobacteria; Rhodocyclales; Azonexaceae. The record is from RNAcentral.
GCCCAGGUGGCGAAAUUGGUAGACGCACCAGAUUUAGGUUCUGGCGCCGCAAGGCGUGGGGGUUCGAUUCCCUUCCUGGGCACCA